Molecule: ribosomal RNA, 222 nt
Filed under: Vibrio parahaemolyticus 3631
Lineage: Bacteria; Pseudomonadati; Pseudomonadota; Gammaproteobacteria; Vibrionales; Vibrionaceae
Description: partial 16S ribosomal RNA
Rfam family: Bacterial small subunit ribosomal RNA
Source: RNAcentral
AAAUUGAAGAGUUUGAUCAUGGCUCAGAUUGAACGCUGGCGGCAGGCCUAACACAUGCAAGUCGAGCGGAAACGAGUUAUCUGAACCUUCGGGGAACGAUAUCGGCGUCGAGCGGCGGACGGGUGAGUAAUGCCUAGGAAAUUGCCCUGAUGUGGGGGAUAACCAUUGGAAACGAUGGCUAAUACCGCAUGAUGCCUACGGGCCAAAGAGGGGGACCUUCGG